CAAAAAAACGAAGUUUCAGAACUAGCCAGAAAGUCAAGACCUCAUUUUUAGCAAAGUAGAAGCGGCACAUUUUUAAACACAGCCUGUUUGCAAUAACUUCGGAAUAACAACCAUCACUGGGAAGUUACGGAAUACCAUCAUUCCCUGGCCAGCAACUUGUGCUACACGCAGACCUCAUGACAGAAUGACGAUAAAAAUGCCAGGGCUAAUUUCUACCAGCGCGUCUCAUUAAUCCAGGCAGCAAACCGAGUAAGGAAUGUGUCAGGGACUACGAGAACGUUGCCCGUUGCUUGUGUUUCUACGUGAAAUGCAUUUCUAGCCACACCCAUAAGGAACAUGUCUUUCCCGACAAUACACAGUGGGCACCUAAAGCUUUCAGAGUGUGCAUCUGAGGACUUAGGCUGUGCAUCGUAAAGUUUCCCUCGGCAACUGCUAAAAUUAUUCACGAGGCACUGCAGCAUGGCAGCAGCUAUCAGCUUUGGAACGGUAAGAGAGGUGUUAGUUGGGGA
Molecule: long non-coding RNA, 509 nt
Organism: Oenanthe melanoleuca
Lineage: Eukaryota; Metazoa; Chordata; Aves; Passeriformes; Muscicapidae
Exons: 3
Source: RefSeq, a predicted model, not a curated record